UACAGAGGGUGCGAGCGUUAAUCGGAAUUACUGGGCGUAAAGCGCGCGUCGGCGGCUUUGCAAGUCGGGUGUGAAAUCCCCAGGCUUAACCUGGGAACUGCAUUCGAGACUGCAUUGCUAGAGUAUGGGAGAGGGAAGUGGAAUUUCCGGUGUAGCGGUGAAAUGCGUAGAUAUCGGAAGGAACAUCAGUGGCGAAAGCGACUUCCUGGACCAAUACUGACGCUCAUGUGCGAAAGCGUGGGGAGCAAACAGG
RNAcentral lists this ribosomal RNA (253 nucleotides) under uncultured bacterium. Its description in RNAcentral is "partial 16S ribosomal RNA". It matches the Rfam family "Bacterial small subunit ribosomal RNA", at positions 524 to 776 of the family's 1533-position model. The record is from RNAcentral.